This 399-nucleotide ribosomal RNA is filed under the name uncultured bacterium. Its description in RNAcentral is "bacterial SSU rRNA". It matches the Rfam family "Bacterial small subunit ribosomal RNA", at positions 355 to 771 of the family's 1533-position model. The record is from RNAcentral.
UGGGGAAUAUUGGACAAUGGGCGAAAGCCUGAUCCAGCCAUGCCGCGUGGGUGAAGAAGGCCCUAGGGUUGUAAAUCCCUUUCAGCGGGGAAGAUAAUGACGGUACCCGCAGAAGAAGCCCCGGCUAACUCCGUGCCAGCAGCCGCGGUAAUACGGAGGGGGCUAGCGUUGUUCGGAAUUACUGGGCGUAAAGCGCACGUAGGCGGGCUGUUAAGUCAGUGGUGAAAUCCCGAGGCUCAACCUCGGAAUUGCCUUUGAUACUGGCAGCCUUGAGUUCGAGAGAGGUGAGUGGAAUUCCGAGUGUAGAGGUGAAAUUCGUAGAUAUUCGGAGGAACACCAGUGGCGAAGGCGGCUCACUGGCUCGAUACUGACGCUGAGGUGCGAAAGCGUGGGGAGCAA